UGUAUCUGAAGUCUGACGAGGAUGAGAACCUCCGGGGGCAAGAGGUUCGACUCGAGCGAAGCGAGAGAACGUUGCGUCAGCAACGGCCCGCAGGGCGAGCCACGCAGUGGCGAGUCAUCCUCUAUCACCGACCU
This 134-nucleotide small RNA is filed under the name Salmonella enterica. RNAcentral's name for it is "RtT sRNA". It matches the Rfam family "RtT RNA". From Rfam's summary of the family: This family represents a bacterial cis-regulatory element known as RtT RNA. The exact function of RtT is unknown although it is thought that it may be involved in changing the cellular response in relation to amino acid starvation. Lineage: Bacteria; Pseudomonadati; Pseudomonadota; Gammaproteobacteria; Enterobacterales; Enterobacteriaceae. The record is from RNAcentral.